GGGAGUUGUGCCUGGGCCACUACGACCGCAGGCUGAACUUGAAGGAUUGACGGAAGGGCACACCAGGGGUGGAGCCUGUGGCUUAAUUUGAAUCAACACGGGGAAACUUACCAGGACCAGAUGUUUUUUAUGACUGACAGGCUUCGGGUCUUUCAGGAUAUUGUUUUUGGUGGUGCAUGGCCGUUGGUGGUGCGUGGGUUGACCUGUCUAGCGUUGAUUCAGCUAACGAGCGAGAUUAUCGCCAAUUAUUUACUUUGCCGAAGUCCUUCGGUUAAAGUUCAA
RNAcentral lists this ribosomal RNA (282 nucleotides) under Trichomonas vaginalis. Its description in RNAcentral is "partial 18S ribosomal RNA". It matches the Rfam family "Eukaryotic small subunit ribosomal RNA", at positions 1118 to 1387 of the family's 1831-position model. Lineage: Eukaryota; Parabasalia; Trichomonadida; Trichomonadidae. The record is from RNAcentral.